This 205-nucleotide long non-coding RNA is filed under the name Mytilus galloprovincialis (Mediterranean mussel). The record is from RNAcentral. Lineage: Eukaryota; Metazoa; Mollusca; Bivalvia; Mytilida; Mytilidae.
CGAAAUGUCAACUUUGGAUUUUACGGUAGCUUACGAGAAAAACAUGUAAAUCAAAAUGGCAAUUGUUGGUUUUGAGAAUGAAACAGAUUUUUUUUUUCGGCGGUUGUUCACGAAAUAAUCCAUGCAAGCUACGGAUUUAUUAGAAUGUUCGAGCUUUAUUUAACAGGGAGUAAAAAAGAACAGCCGCACACACAGCAUACCCACC